ACUUUCCAGGUUGCAGCCUGAUUUAUUAGGCUGAUGGCUGGUGACUUUUUGGUCACCAGCCU
RNAcentral lists this small RNA (62 nucleotides) under Brenneria goodwinii. RNAcentral's name for it is "Pseudomonas sRNA P26". It matches the Rfam family "Pseudomonas sRNA P26". From Rfam's summary of the family: P26 is conserved across many Gammaproteobacteria species and appears to be consistently located between the DNA directed RNA polymerase (beta subunit) and 50S ribosomal protein L7/L12 genes. The record is from Rfam by way of RNAcentral. Lineage: Bacteria; Pseudomonadati; Pseudomonadota; Gammaproteobacteria; Enterobacterales; Pectobacteriaceae.